RNAcentral lists this ribosomal RNA (543 nucleotides) under uncultured bacterium. RNAcentral's name for it is "bacterial SSU rRNA". It matches the Rfam family "Bacterial small subunit ribosomal RNA", at positions 9 to 521 of the family's 1533-position model. The record is from RNAcentral.
GAGUUUGAUCCUGGCUCAGGAUGAACGCUGGCGGCGUGCUUAACACAUGCAAGUCGAACGGAGAUGUACGCUGAAGAAGCUUCGGUGGAUUCUUGUGCAUCUUAGUGGCGAACGGGUGAGUAACACGUGGGCAACCUGCCCAAAAGAGGGGGAUAACACUUGGAAACAGGUGCUAAUACCGCAUAACCAUAGUUACCGCAUGGUAGCUAUGUAAAAGGUGGCUAUGCUACCGCUUUUGGAUGGGCCCGCGGCGCAUUAGCUAGUUGGUGGGGUAAAGGCUUACCAAGGCAAUGAUGCGUAGCCGAACUGAGAGGUUGAUCGGCCACAUUGGGACUGAGACACGGCCCAAACUCCUACGGGAGGCAGCAGUAGGGAAUCUUCCACAAUGGGCGAAAGCCUGAUGGAGCAACGCCGCGUGGGUGAAGAAGGUCUUCGGAUCGUAAAACCCUGUUGUUAGAGAAGAAAGUGCGUGAGAGUAACUGUUCACGUUUCGACGGUAUCUAACCAGAAAGCCACGGCUAACUACGUGCCAGCAGCCGCGGU